UCAAAUAGACAGACUAUAACCAAUUAAGAAGAAUUUGCAUUUUCUUCCUGAGAGAAAUGUAUUUGAAGCCAAAGCUUAGCCACAUUUAAGUGCAAUUGUAUAACCAAUUCAUAACAAACGUAAAAUUCACCAGAUGUGAUUAAUUUUCUUCUAUUCUAGAAAAAGUCUGGGGACUCCAGAAUAUUCAACACCAGCAACCCAGACAGGUUAUAUUAAUAAAAAACAAAAUAAUGAUUAAUCAUAAAAAGACUUUACGUGGAAGGCAUUUAAUAUUGGUAUUAAUCUUGUUGAUUCAAGAAAAGUACUCUAUCAGUAAUAUGAUUCAUAUGAUAAAAAUUUGAAAUAUAUUUCAGAAUUAAUGAUUAGUAAUAGAAACUGCAUGAGAAAGGUGCCUCAUGAAUGUGAUAUAUGUGGGAAGUGACAUUGCAUUUAAACUUGAGGAAACAUCUACUGAAAUUAAACCUCAUGAAUACAAUCAAAAUGGAAAGGAUAUCAGUCAUAAUGAAUACUGUGUUCAGCUUCAAAUUUUGGGGCCACACUAAGGAUUUAAUGAAUAUGGAAAAGACUUUUAUAAGGCAGACUCUGGCAGCCAAAAGAGAUCUCAUGUUGGGAGAGGGGGAAAAAAAAACGCUUUUUGAAUUUAAUGACUGUGAAAGCACUUUCUUCCAAAAGUCAGUUGUCAGGAUAUAUGAGAGAACUGAAAUAGAAAGUAAGCGCAUGAAAGCAAUGAACAUGGCAAUCCUGCACAGUGUCAAAAAAAUUAUAUCAAACAGCACAUACAGGGGAGAGCCUCUUUGAAUAUGGUUCAUUUGGGAAGACCUUUGGUUACUCAUCAACAAUUAUUAUACAUCAAAGAAGUCAAUCAAAGUAGACAUCUCAUGAUUAUCCUCAGUGUAUGAAAACUAUAAUUGAACCAUCACAUUCUACUGUACGUACAUCAGAGAGCUCCUACAGGACAAGAACCCAAUGAAUAUAAUGAAUGUAAACAAGCAAUUAAGAUUUCAAACUUUAAGAGAAUUGACACAGUAGAGAAACUUUAUGAGUUUACUGAGUGUAGAAAUGCCUUACACAAAAAGUUCCACUUUACCCAUUAUCAGAGAACUCACAUAGAAAUCUUGUGAAAGUAGUCAGUGUGGCAGAACCUUCAACAAAAAGUCUUAUCUCACAAAACAUCACAGGCUACACACAGGGGAGAAUCCCUAUGAAUGUAGUGAAUGUGGCAAAGCCUUUUAUAGUAAGGUACAUCUCACUAGACAUCAGAGAAUACACAUAGGGGAGAAGCCCUCUGAAUGUGCUGAGUGUGAGAAAACUUCCUGUGUGACAUCAACACUGAGUGUGCAUCAGAGAACACACAUGGGAGAAACCUUAUGAAUGUACUGAAUGUGGGACAAUCUUUAACCACAAGUCAACACUCACUGAACAUCAGAGAACACACACAGGAGAAACUAUGAAUGUACUAAAUGUAGGAUAACCUUUUUUGCAAAGUUAAAACUCAUUGGACAACAAAGAAUACACACUGGGGAAAAACCUUAUGAAUGUAUCAGAUGUGGGAAAACUUUCAGUGGUAAUUCAUGCCUCACAGUACAUCAGAGAAAACACACGGGGGAGAAACCCUAUGAAUGUACCGACUGAGAAAACCAGUAGCAAUUUAAAUCUCACACUACAUCAGAGAACAGAUACAAGAGAGAAACCCUAUGAAUGUACUGAAUGUGGGAAAACCUACACUCACAAAUCAAGUCUCAAUGAACAUUGUAGAAUAUAGGGCAAAAGCUCUGUGAAUGUAAUAAAUGUGACACAUCAUUGUGCCACAGUUCAGUCCUUACUAAAUGUCAGA
Molecule: long non-coding RNA, 1834 nt
Filed under: Homo sapiens (human)
Lineage: Eukaryota; Metazoa; Chordata; Mammalia; Primates; Hominidae
Description: non-protein coding lnc-ZNF25-4:1
Source: RNAcentral